This 505-nucleotide ribosomal RNA is filed under the name uncultured bacterium. RNAcentral describes it as "partial 16S ribosomal RNA". It matches the Rfam family "Bacterial small subunit ribosomal RNA", at positions 28 to 507 of the family's 1533-position model. The record is from RNAcentral.
GACGAACGCUGGCGGCGUGCCUAAUACAUGCAAGUAGAACGCACAGUUUAUACCGUAGCUUGCUACACCAUAGACUGUGAGUUGCGAAUGGGUGAGUAACGCGUAGGUAACCUGCCUGGUAGCGGGGGGUAACUAUUGGAAACGAUAGCUAAUACCGCAUAAUAUUGAUUAUUGCAUGAUAAUUGAUUGAAAGAUGCUAUUGUAUCACUACAAGAUGGACCUGCGUUGUAUUAGCUAGUAGGUGAGGUAACGGGUCACCUAGGCGACGAUACAUAGCCGAACUGGGAGGGUGAUCGGCCACAAUGGGACCGGGACCCGGCCCAGGCUCCUACGGGAGGCAGCCGUAGGGAAACUUCGGGAAUGGACGGAAGUCUUACCGGGCAACGCCGCGGUAGUGAAGAAGGGUUUCGGAUCGGAAAGAUCUGUUGUUAGGGAAGAACGGGUGGGAGAAGGGAAAGUUCACACUGUGACGGUAUCUUACCAGAAAGGGACGGCUAACUACGUG